UGUGCAGGGAUGGGAAACGAACCCACAGUGUUCCGCUUACCGGGCAGAUGCCAUGUCCACUAGGCUACCCUGGAC
Molecule: transfer RNA, 75 nt
Filed under: Cordylochernes scorpioides
Lineage: Eukaryota; Metazoa; Arthropoda; Arachnida; Pseudoscorpiones; Chernetidae
Description: tRNA-Thr
Source: RNAcentral